RNAcentral lists this ribosomal RNA (253 nucleotides) under uncultured bacterium. RNAcentral's name for it is "partial 16S ribosomal RNA". It matches the Rfam family "Bacterial small subunit ribosomal RNA", at positions 524 to 776 of the family's 1533-position model. The record is from RNAcentral.
GACGAACCGUGCAAACGUUGUUCGGAAUCACUGGGCAUAAAGGGUGCGUAGGCGGCGCGGUAAGUCGGGUGUGAAAUCUUGGAGCUUAACUCCGAAACUGCAUUCGAUACUGCCGUGCUUGAGGACUGGAGAGGAGACUGGAAUUUACGGUGUAGCGGUGAAAUGCGUAGAUAUCGUAAGGAAGACCAGUGGCGAAGGCGGGUCUCUGGACAGUUCCUGACGCUGAGGCACGAAAGCUAGGGGAGCAAACAGG